AAAAGGAGAAAUCCGGCAAGCGAUGGAUCCGCGUCCGAUUAGCCAGUUGGCGGGGUAAUGGCCCACCAAAGCGACGAUCGGUAGCCGGCCUGAGAGGGCGGACGGCCACAUUGGGACUGAGACACGGCCCAGACUCCUACGGGAGGCAGCAGUGGGGGAUAUUGCACAAUGGGGGAAACCCUGAUGCAGCGACGCCGCGUGGGUGAAGAAGUAUUUCGGUAUGUAAAGCCCUAUCAGCAGGGAAGAAAGAAGACGGUACCUGACUAAGAAGCCCCGGCUAACUACGUGCCAGCAGCCGCGGUAAUACGUAGGGGGCGAGCGUUAUCCGGAUUCACUGGGUGUAAAGGGAGCGUAGACGGCCGUGCAAGCCAGGAGUGAAAGCCCGGGGCCCAACCCCGGGACUGCUCUUGGAACUGUGCGGCUGGAGUGCGGGAGGGGCAGGCGGAAUUCCUGGUGUAGCGGUGAAAUGCGUAGAUAUCAGGAGGAACACCGGCGGCGAAGGCGGCCUGCUGGACCGCGACUGACGUUGAGGCUCGAAAGCGUGGGGAGCGAACAGGAUUAGAUACCCUGGUAGUCCACGCCGUAAACGAUGACUACUAGGUGUCGGGGCACGACAGUGCUCCG
RNAcentral lists this ribosomal RNA (624 nucleotides) under uncultured bacterium. Its description in RNAcentral is "bacterial SSU rRNA". It matches the Rfam family "Bacterial small subunit ribosomal RNA", at positions 202 to 842 of the family's 1533-position model. The record is from RNAcentral.